Molecule: ribosomal RNA, 695 nt
Filed under: uncultured Enterobacteriaceae bacterium
Lineage: Bacteria; Pseudomonadati; Pseudomonadota; Gammaproteobacteria; Enterobacterales; Enterobacteriaceae
Description: bacterial SSU rRNA
Rfam family: Bacterial small subunit ribosomal RNA
Source: RNAcentral
UAAACGAUGUCGAUUGGAGUUGUUGCUGGAGUGAUGGGCUCCGAAGCUAACGCGAUAAAUCGACCGCUGGGGAGUACGGCCGCAAGGUUAAAACUCAAAUGAAUUGACGGGGGCCCGCACAAGCGGUGGAGCAUGUGGUUUAAUUCGAUGCAACGCGAAGAACCUUACCUGGUCUUGACAUCCAUAGAAUUCUGCAGAGAUGUGGGGGUGCCUUCGGGAACUAUGAGACAGGUGCUGCAUGGCUGUCGUCAGCUCGUGUUGUGAAAUGUUGGGUUAAGUCCCGCAACGAGCGCAACCCUUAUUCUUUGUUGCCAGCGAUUUGGUCGGGAACUCAAAGGAGACUGCCGUUGAUAAAGCGGAGGAAGGUGGGGACGACGUCAAGUCAUCAUGGCCCUUACGACCAGGGCUACACACGUGCUACAAUGGCGUAUACAAAGGGAAGCGAAGGUGCGAGCUGGAGCGGAUCUCAUAAAGUACGUCUAAGUUCGGAUUGGAGUCUGCAACUCGACUCCAUGAAGUCGGAAUCGCUAGUAAUCGUAGAUCAGAAUGCUACGGUGAAUACGUUCCCGGGCCUUGUACACACCGCCCGUCACACCAUGGGAGUGGGUUGCACCAGAAGUAGAUAGCUUAACCGCGAGGGGGGCGUUUACCACGGUGUGAUUCAUGACUGGGGUGAAGUCGUAACAAGGUAACCA